CAGUGGGGAAUCUUGCACAAUGGAGGAAACUCUGAUGCAGCGAUGCCGCGUGAGUGAAGAAGGCCUUUGGGUUGUAAAGCUCUUUUGUAGGGGAAGAUAAUGACUGUACCCUAAGAAUAAGGUCCGGCUAACUUCGUGCCAGCAGCCGCGGUAAUACGAAGGGACCUAGCGUAGUUCGGAAUUACUGGGCGUAAAGCGCGCGUAGGCCGUUGAGUUAGUUAAUUGUGAAAUCCCAAAGCUUAACUUUGGAACUGCAAUUAAAACCUGCUCGACUAGAGUUUGAUAGAGGAAAGCGGAAUACAUAGUGUAGAGGUGAAAUUCGUAGAUAUUAUGUAGAACACCAGUUGCGAAGGCGGCUUUCUGGAUCAACACUGACGCUGAGGCGCGAAAGUAUGGGUAGCAAAGAGGAUUAGAUACCCCCGUAGUCCG
RNAcentral lists this ribosomal RNA (429 nucleotides) under alpha proteobacterium SCGC AAA027-N08. RNAcentral's name for it is "bacterial SSU rRNA". It matches the Rfam family "Bacterial small subunit ribosomal RNA", at positions 352 to 797 of the family's 1533-position model. Lineage: Bacteria; Pseudomonadati; Pseudomonadota; Alphaproteobacteria. The record is from RNAcentral.